Molecule: transfer RNA, 72 nt
Filed under: Ovis aries (sheep)
Lineage: Eukaryota; Metazoa; Chordata; Mammalia; Artiodactyla; Bovidae
Rfam family: tRNA
About the family: Transfer RNA (tRNA) molecules are approximately 80 nucleotides in length. Their secondary structure includes four short double-helical elements and three loops (D, anti-codon, and T loops).
Source: Rfam by way of RNAcentral
UCCCUGGUGGCUCAGAGGUUAAAGCGUCUGCCUGCAAUGCAGGAGACCUGGGUUCGAUCUCUGGGUGAGGAA